RNAcentral lists this ribosomal RNA (332 nucleotides) under uncultured bacterium. RNAcentral's name for it is "partial 16S ribosomal RNA". It matches the Rfam family "Bacterial small subunit ribosomal RNA", at positions 338 to 667 of the family's 1533-position model. The record is from RNAcentral.
CCUACGGGAGGCAGCAGUGAGGAAUAUUGGUCAAUGGACGGAAGUCUGAACCAGCCAUGCCGCGUGCAGGAAGAUGGCUCUAUGAGUUGUAAACUGCUUUUGUACAAGGGUAAACCUGAAUACGUGUAUUCAGCUGAUAGUACUGUACGAAUAAGGAUCGGAUAACUCAGUGCCAGCAGCCGCGGUAAUACGGAGGAUCGAAGCGUUACCCGGAUUUAUUGGGUUUAAAGGGUGCGUAGGCGGAUUGAUAAGUUAGAGGUGAAAUGUCCGAGCUCAACUCGGGAACUGCCUCUAAUACUGUUGAGCUAGAGAGUAGUUGCGGUAGGCGGAAU